CCUACGGGCGGCAGCAGUGAGGAAUAUUGGUCAAUGGUCGGGAGACUGAACCAGCCAAGCCGCGUGAGGGAGGAAGGUACAGAGUAUCGUAACCCUCUUUUGUUAGGGAACAAAGGCGGGGACGUGUCCCCGGAUGAGUGUACCUGAAGAAAAAGCAUCGGCUAACUCCGUGCCAGCAGCCGCGGUAAUACGGAGGAUGCGAGCGUUAGCCGGAUUUAUUGGGUUUAAAGGGGUCGCAGGCGGUCUGUUAAGUCAGCGGUCAAAGCCCGGGGUUCAACCCCGCCCCGCCGUUGAAACUGGCAGUCUCGAGUUGGAGAGAAGUAUGCGGAAUGCGCGGUGUAGCGGUGAAAGGCAUAGAUAUCGCGCAGAACUCCGAUUGCGAAGGCAGCAUGCCGGCUCCACACUGACGCUGAGGCACGAAAGCGUGGGUAUCGAACAGGAUUAGAUACCCUAGUAGUC
Molecule: ribosomal RNA, 459 nt
Filed under: uncultured bacterium
Lineage: Bacteria
Description: partial 16S ribosomal RNA
Rfam family: Bacterial small subunit ribosomal RNA
Source: RNAcentral